This 433-nucleotide ribosomal RNA is filed under the name uncultured bacterium. RNAcentral describes it as "bacterial SSU rRNA". It matches the Rfam family "Bacterial small subunit ribosomal RNA", at positions 368 to 793 of the family's 1533-position model. The record is from RNAcentral.
ACAAUGGGCGCAAGCCUGAUGGAGCAACACCGCGUGAGUGAAGAAAGGUUUCGGCUCGUAAAGCUCUGUUGUUAAAGAAGAACACGUAUGAGAGUAACUGUUCAUACGUUGACGGUAUUUAACCAGAAAGUCACGGCUAACUACGUGCCAGCAGCCGCGGUAAUACGUAGGUGGCAAGCGUUAUCCGGAUUUAUUGGGCGUAAAGAGAGUGCAGGCGGUUUUCUAAGUCUGAUGUGAAAGCCUUCGGCUUAACCGGAGAAGUGCAUCGGAAACUGGAUAACUUGAGUGCAGAAGAGGGUAGUGGAACUCCAUGUGUAGCGGUGGAAUGCGUAGAUAUAUGGAAGAACACCAGUGGCGAAGGCGGCUACCUGGUCUGCAACUGACGCUGAGACUCGAAAGCAUGGGUAGCGAACAGGAUUAGAUACCCUGGUAG